UACGGGGGGGGCAAGCGUUGUUCGGAAUUACUGGGCGUAAAGGGCUCGUAGGCGGCCAACUAAGUCAGACGUGAAAUCCCUCGGCUUAACCGGGGAACUGCGUCUGAUACUGGAUGGCUUGAGGUUGGGAGAGGGAUGCGGAAUUCCAGGUGUAGCGGUGAAAUGCGUAGAGAUGCGGAGGAACACCGAUGGCGAAGGCAGCCCCCUGGGCUGACACUGACGCUCAGGCACGAAAGCGUGGGGAGCAAACAGG
RNAcentral lists this ribosomal RNA (253 nucleotides) under uncultured bacterium. Its description in RNAcentral is "partial 16S ribosomal RNA". It matches the Rfam family "Bacterial small subunit ribosomal RNA", at positions 524 to 776 of the family's 1533-position model. The record is from RNAcentral.